CACUCCUGCGGGAGGCAGCAGUGGGGAAUAUUGGACAAUGGGCGCAAGCCUGAUCCAGCCAUGCCGCGUGAGUGAUGAAGGCCCUAGGGUUGUAAAGCUCUUUCACCGGUGAAGAUAAUGACGGUAACCGGAGAAGAAGCCCCGGCUAACUUCGUGCCAGCAGCCGCGGUAAUACGAAGGGGGCUAGCGUUGUUCGGAUUUACUGGGCGUAAAGCGCACGUAGGCGGACUAUUAAGUCAGGGGUGAAAUCCCGGGGCUCAACCCCGGAACUGCCUUUGAUACUGGUAGUCUUGAGUUCGAGAGAGGUGAGUGGAAUUCCGAGUGUAGAGGUGAAAUUCGUAGAUAUUCGGAGGAACACCAGUGGCGAAGGCGGCUCACUGGCUCGAUACUGACGCUGAGGUGCGAAAGCGUGGGGAGCAAACAGGAUUAGAAACCCCAGAGUCCCAUGAU
This 450-nucleotide ribosomal RNA is filed under the name uncultured organism. RNAcentral describes it as "partial 16S ribosomal RNA". It matches the Rfam family "Bacterial small subunit ribosomal RNA", at positions 334 to 801 of the family's 1533-position model. The record is from RNAcentral.